This 865-nucleotide long non-coding RNA is filed under the name Salmo salar (Atlantic salmon). Its description in RNAcentral is "lncRNA (ENSSSAG00000120233.1, ENSSSAG00000121193.1)". The record is from RNAcentral. Lineage: Eukaryota; Metazoa; Chordata; Actinopteri; Salmoniformes; Salmonidae.
AGAACAUUUUGGAACUCCCAAAUAUGGCUGAAUUUACCGAGUAGCUCUGAGUCAGAGAAUGAGUUUAUUACAGAGAAUGAAAUAAUGUUAGUUAGGGAGCCAAUAAACCUACUGAAGCCGUUCACGUCUGAGCCGAUCGUUGACCCAGAUCAGAGUUCGUUCUCGUAUUACAUCCAGUCAGAGGUUCCUGUCAGUCUGUCUGGAUGGUGACUGUAUUACAUCCAGGUCAGAGGUUCCUGUCAGUCUGUCUGGAUGGUGAUGUAUUACAUCCAGUCAGAGGUUCCUGUCAGUCUGUCUGGAUGGUGACUGUAUUACAUCCAGUCAGAGGAUCCUGUCAGUCUGUCUGGAUGGUGACUGUAUUACAUCCAGAGGUUCCUGUCAGUCUGUCUGGAUGGUGACUGUAUUACAUCCAGUCAGAGGUUCCUGUCUGGAUGGUGAUGUAUUACAUCCAAUCAGAGGUUUCUGUCUGGAUGGUGAUGUAUUACAUCCAGGUCAGAGGUUCCUGUCUGUCUGUCUGGAUGGUGACUGUAUUACAUCCAGUCAGAGGUUCCUGUCAGUCUGUCUGGAUGGUGACUGUAUUACAUCCAGAGGUUCCUGUCAGUCUGUCUGGAUGGUGAUGUAUUACAUCCAGUCAGAGGCACCUGUCAGUCUGUCUGGAUGGUGAUGUAUUACAUCCAGUCAGGUUCUUGUCAGUCUGUCUGGAGGGCGAUGUAUUGGACGUGUCACUAGUCCUUUUGAAGGACUUCCUGGCAGAAGAGGUUACUCGACCAGUCAGCAGCCGAUAUGCCAGUUAAUUAAUUGGUGAAAUUUUGCUAUAGGGGCAGGACUCCGUUGUAUACUGAUGGUCGUGAGCGCAGUCUAGCUG